UACGGAGGAUGCGAGCGUUAUCCGGAUUUAUUGGGUUUAAAGGGUGCGUAGGCGGCUUUUUAAGUCAGCGGUGAAAUUUUGCAGCUUAACUGUAACAGUGCCGUUGAUACUGGGGAGCUAGGAUUUGGUUGCUGUGGGUGGAAUGUGUGGUGUAGCGGUGAAAUGCUUAGAUAUCACACAGAACACCGAUUGCGAAGGCAGCACACUAAGUCAUUAUUGACGCUGAGGCACGAAAGUGUGGGGAUCAAACAGGAUUAGA
RNAcentral lists this ribosomal RNA (259 nucleotides) under uncultured prokaryote. Its description in RNAcentral is "partial 16S ribosomal RNA". It matches the Rfam family "Bacterial small subunit ribosomal RNA", at positions 524 to 782 of the family's 1533-position model. The record is from RNAcentral.